UACGGGGGGGGCAAGCGUUGUUCGGAAUUACUGGGCGUAAAGGGCUCGUAGGUGGCCAACUAAGUCAGACGUGAAAUCCCCAGGCUUAACCUGGGAACUGCGUCUGAUACUGGAUGGCUUGAAUUCGGGAGAGGGAUGCAGAAUUCCAGGUGUAGCGGUGAAAUGCGUAGAUAUCUGGAGGAAUACCGGUGGCGAAGGCGGCAUCCUGGACCGAGAUUGACACUGAUGAGCGAAAGCGUGGGUAGCAAACAGG
Molecule: ribosomal RNA, 253 nt
Filed under: uncultured bacterium
Lineage: Bacteria
Description: partial 16S ribosomal RNA
Rfam family: Bacterial small subunit ribosomal RNA
Source: RNAcentral